UUUCCUGUGUCACUGUCACGUGUAAAUCUCAUGGUGCUGCACAGAAGGACAGACUGGGAGCUGAUGUUGUAUAUUUUGGAAACAGGUACAGACUGAAAUGACAUUUCAGUUCACUGGCCUGGCUACAGGAAGCCAAGAGUAGGAGUGCAGUGCUCUCCACCAAAGCUGCAAUGCCUCCUCUAAACACUGUUUAGUUUCCAAACAUGCAGAGUACCCAGGAGACUUGCUCUCAUCAGAUUGAACUAAAUGUGUGCUAUGUAGUUGUGAAGAAAGAUGUCUACUGGCAGCUGCUCUUCUCUUUUGGGAAAACUGCUACUUUGGAGUGUCCUUCUGGAUGAAAGGCAGGAAAACUUCUAUCAUUAAAUAAUAGUAUUGUGGAGCCCCAAAAUAUUGUGUGUUUUAAUGUUGUUGCAUAAUCUUGGGGCUUAUUGAUGCUUUAUGCUCCUGUAUAAUAGCCUCAAACACAUGA
Long non-coding RNA from Vidua macroura (Pin-tailed whydah), 469 nucleotides. RefSeq lists it as uncharacterized. The transcript is spliced from 3 exons. The record is from RefSeq and is a predicted model, not a curated record. NCBI's taxonomy places the organism in Eukaryota, Metazoa, Chordata, Aves, Passeriformes, Viduidae.